This 26-nucleotide non-coding RNA is filed under the name Cricetulus griseus (Chinese hamster). Lineage: Eukaryota; Metazoa; Chordata; Mammalia; Rodentia; Cricetidae. The record is from RNAcentral.
AAAAGAUUGUGUUUUCCCGGUAGAAG